CCCGGGCCUUGUACACACCGCCCGUCACACCAUGGGAGUUGGUUUUACCCGAAGGCGUCUCGCUAACCGCAAGGAGGCAGGCGACCACGGUAGGGUCAGCGACUGGGGUG
RNAcentral lists this ribosomal RNA (110 nucleotides) under uncultured bacterium. RNAcentral describes it as "partial 16S ribosomal RNA". It matches the Rfam family "Bacterial small subunit ribosomal RNA", at positions 1373 to 1482 of the family's 1533-position model. The record is from RNAcentral.